GGGUUCAAUCAUACCAGCACUAAUGUAACGGAUCCCAUCAGAACUCUACAGCUUAGCGUGCUUGGGUGAGAGUAGUACUAGGAUUGGUGAACUCCUGGGAAGUCCUUGUGUUGCACCCC
RNAcentral lists this ribosomal RNA (119 nucleotides) under Gossypium hirsutum (cotton). The record is from RNAcentral. Lineage: Eukaryota; Viridiplantae; Streptophyta; Magnoliopsida; Malvales; Malvaceae.